UACGUAGGGGGCGAGCGUUGUCCGAAGUUACUGGGCGUAAAGCGCGCGUAGGCGGGCCGUUAAGUGGGAGGUGAAAGGCCGGGGCUCAACCCCGUGCAGUGCCUCCCAUACUGGCGGUCUUGAGGGCGGUAGGGAGGAGCGGAAUGGCUGGUGUAGCGGUGAAAUGCGUAGAGAUCAGCAGGAAUACCCGUGGCGAAGGCGGCCCCCUGGGCCGACCCUGACGCUGAGGCGCGAAGGCUAGGGGAGCGAACGGG
This 254-nucleotide ribosomal RNA is filed under the name uncultured bacterium. RNAcentral describes it as "partial 16S ribosomal RNA". It matches the Rfam family "Bacterial small subunit ribosomal RNA", at positions 524 to 776 of the family's 1533-position model. The record is from RNAcentral.